Molecule: non-coding RNA, 187 nt
Filed under: Nitrospirota bacterium
Lineage: Bacteria; Pseudomonadati; Nitrospirota
Description: 6S RNA
Rfam family: 6S / SsrS RNA
About the family: E. coli 6S RNA was the first non coding RNA to be sequenced, but its function was unknown until recently. It consists of 184 nucleotides that fold into an extended hairpin structure with a large single-stranded internal bulge.
Source: RNAcentral
AACUGCCUGCCCUGUUGGUGAUAAGAGGAAAAGUUGAUCCGGCAAAUUAGAUCUUUUGGGAGCCUGAGUAAGGAGUCGGUGUGCAUGUCCCGCAUGCAAAUUGCGGGAAAGCCUAAAGUCUCCUUCAAGGCACCCACCUAUUUUAUAGGCGGAUCUAAUCUCCCUUACACGGCAGGGUGGGUUUAUU